GGUUAUUGACUCAGAGUCCUCCUGGCAUUUAAGUUAGAGAUCAAUACUAUUCAGACUUCUGGACCCCCGUUUGGGCCUCCUGCUUGGGGUGUCUCCGCUCUGGGCUCUGCCCUUCACGGGUAUCCUAUAGCCGGUCCCAUCACCACGGCCGCCCUCACCCCAGCCCAGGCCAGCUUGUAUCCGUGUCCUUCCUGGGCAGACUGGAGCGCGGCUCUGCUGUCCCGGCCUCCUGCGCCACUUCCUCUUCUGUCCGGCCAGCCCCAGCCCAUGCCUGGUAUACAGCAAGGGCUUAAUGCAUGCUCAGGGACGCCGUUCAUCUGCCUCUGGAACAGUCAUCACCCCCUCCUCGGGCACAGUGGACUUCACAGGAGCCGGCAGGGAGGCAGGGAAGCCCGAGCUGGCCCAGGCCCUGCUCGCCCUGAUCUCGGCUGAGGAUCCAGGGUCCUCCUCCCUUUAACAGACAGAAAGGGCGGCCAGACGCCGCCUCCUGCUUCCUCCCUCCCAGGGGCUUUGAGGUGGGAAGCUGCCAGGCUAGAAGGUGGCUGCAACCUGUCUGAUGGGAUCACCUGCCAGGCGGGGGGAGCCCUGCUUUCCCUUUUUCUAGGGAGGGUCCCAUGGGGUCAGAGGAAGAAGUAGACCGAAAGGUAAUGGGGGGCUUUCCCCAGAAAUGAUCGCAAUGGAAAACCAAAGGGCAUCCGUAAGAACCUAUUUUUAAAAGGCCUUUGGGAGCUAUAGAAUGUUAUAGAAAAGUGAGCGGGGGUGAGCUGGGUGCUCAGUGGAUAGAGAGCCAGUCCUGGAGACAGGAGCUCCUGGGUUCAAAUCCAACUCCAGACACUUCCUAGCUGUGUGACCUUGGGCAAGUCCCUUAACCCCAUUGCCUAGCCCUUACCACUUUUCUGCUUUGGAACCAAUACUGGUUCUAAGACAGAAAAGGAAGGAAGGAAGGAAGGAAGGAAGGAAGGAAGGAAGGAAGGAAGGAAGGAAGGAAGGAAGGAAGGAAGGAAGGAAGGAAGGAAGGAAGGAAGGAAGGAAGGAAGGAAGGAAAAGAAAGAAAGAGAAAGAAAGGAAGAAAGAAAAAAGAGAAAGAGGAACAAAGAAACAAAAGAGAGGAAAAAAGGAAAAGGAAGGAAGGAAGGAAAGAGAACGGCUAUUAUUAUUUUAAAUUAAAAUGUUUAUUUUGAAUGA
Long non-coding RNA from Monodelphis domestica (gray short-tailed opossum), 1185 nucleotides. The record is from Ensembl. NCBI's taxonomy places the organism in Eukaryota, Metazoa, Chordata, Mammalia, Didelphimorphia, Didelphidae.